Molecule: ribosomal RNA, 309 nt
Filed under: uncultured eukaryote
Lineage: Eukaryota
Description: partial 18S ribosomal RNA
Rfam family: Eukaryotic small subunit ribosomal RNA
Source: RNAcentral
CCCCUAGAUGUUCUGGGCGGCCCGCGCACUACAUUGGCACUCUCAAUAAGUUCCUAGAUCUAAAACUUUGGGGUAUUCUAUUAAGUGGUGUCGUGACUGGGAUUAACCCUUGCAAUUAUUGGUUACGAACGAGGAAUUCCUUGUAAUCGCGGUUUAUCAGCCCGCGUUGAAUGCGUCCCUGCCCUUUGUACACACCGCCCGUCGCUCCUACCGAUGAAUCGUCCGGUGAAGUUCAUGGAGUGGUGGUUGUUCCAGCUGCUGUCGAAGUGAAAUGGACCUCACGAUUUAGAGGAAGGAGAAGUCGUAACA